CGGCAUGCUUAACACAUGCAAGUUUAACGUCUUUGAUGGAAACAUCAAAGCAGUGACGGACGGGUGAGUAAUGUGUAAGAAUCAACGUUUAGGCGAGGGACAACAGUUGGAAACGUCUGCUAAUACCUCAUAAUGCUAUAAAGUUAAAGGAAAUCCACCUAAACACGAGCUUGCAUCUGAUUAGCUAGUUGGUGUGGUAAAGGCUUACCAAGGCAAUGAUCAGUAGCUGAUUUGAGAAGAUGAUCAGCCACACUGGGAUUGAGAACGGAACAGACUUCUACGGAAGGCAGCAGUGAGGAAUUUUCCGCAAUGGGCGAAAGCCUGACGGAGCAAUGCCGCGUGAAGGAAAGAAGGCCUUAGGGUUGUAAACUUCUUUUCUCAUAGAAGAAGAAAAAUUUAUGACGGUAUAUGAGGAAUAAGCAUCGGCUAAUUCCGUGCCAGCAGCCGCGGUAAUACGGGAGAUGCAAGCGUUAUCCGGAAUUAUUGGGCGUAAAGAGUUUGUAGGUCGUCAAGUAUGUUUAAUGUUAAAUAUUAAAGCUUAACUUUGAAAUUGCAUUAAAAACUGCUAGACUUGAGUGUGGGAGGGGUAAAGGGAAUUUCCAGUGUAGCGGUGAAAUGCGUAGAUAUUGGAAAGAACACCAAAAGCGAAGGCACUUUACUAGUCCUCAAAAAAAACUGACACUGAGAAACGAAAGCUAAGGGAGCAAACAGGAUUAGAUACCCUGGUAGUCUUAGCUGUAAACGAUGGAUACUGGGUGGUGCAUAAUGUGCACUGCUGUAGUUAACACGAUAAGUAUCCCGCCUGGGAAGUACGCUUGCAAAAGUGAAACUCAAAGGAAUUGACGGGGGCCCGCACAAGCGGUGGAGCAUGUGGUUUAAUUCGAUGCAACACGAAGAACCUUACCAGGGUUUGACAUGCUAGGAAGUAACAUGAAAGUGUUAUGUGCUCGAUUUUGAGAACCUAGACACAGGUGGUGCAUGGCUGUCGUCAGCUCGUGUCGUGAGAUGUUGGGUUAAGUCCCGCAACGAGCGCAACCCUUAUUUUUAGUUAAAUUAAAAAAUUAAAGAAACUGCCGGUCUUAAGCCGGAGGAAGGUGAGGACGACGUCAAGUCAUCAUGCCCCUUAUAUCCUGGGCUACACACGUGCUACAAUGGUUAAGACAAAAAGCAGCAAUCUUGUGAAAGUGAGCCAAUCUUAAAACUUAGCCUUAGUUCGGAUUGUAGGCUGCAACUUGCCUACAUGAAGCUGGAAUCGCUAGUAAUCGCCGGUCAGCUAUACGGCGGUGAAUACGUUCUCGGGCCUUGUACACACCGCCCGUCACACCAUGGGAGUCGGCUGUGCCCGAAGUCGUUAUCUUACCCGUAAGGAAAGAAACAUCUAAGGCCUGGCUGGUAACUGGGGUGAAGUCGUAACAAGGUA
Molecule: ribosomal RNA, 1420 nt
Filed under: Euglena agilis
Lineage: Eukaryota; Euglenozoa; Euglenophyceae; Euglenales; Euglenaceae
Description: bacterial SSU rRNA
Rfam family: Bacterial small subunit ribosomal RNA
Source: RNAcentral